GAGUGAGCGGCAAAGCUCAAAUUUGAAAUCCUCAGGGAAUUGUAAUUUGAAGGUGGUCUCAGUUAGUUCAAACAUUCUUAAGUCCAUUGGAAAAUGGCGCCAUGGAGGGUGAUAGCCCCGUAAAGAAUUCGUUUUGAUCUAUUUUUCUUUGACCACCAAAGAGUCGAGUUGUUUGGGAAUGCAGCUCUAAGUGGGUGGUAAAUUCCAUCUAAAGCUAAAUAUUGGCGAGAGACCGAUAGCGAACAAGUACAGUGAUGGAAAGAUGAAAAGCACUUUGAAAAGAGAGUGAAAAAGUACGUGAAAUUGUUGAAAGGGAAGGGCUUGCAAGCAGACACAACCUUUUUGGUUGGGCCAGCAUCGGGGCGAGGGGAAGGAAAAAAGAAAAGGAAAUGUAGCUCUCGAGUAUUAUAGACCUCUUCCAUAACUUCCAUCUCAUCCCGAGGCCUGCGGAUUUAAUCCUAGGAUGCUGGCGUAAUGGUUGCAAGUCGCCCGUCUUGAAACACGGACC
Molecule: ribosomal RNA, 508 nt
Filed under: Metschnikowia bicuspidata
Lineage: Eukaryota; Fungi; Ascomycota; Pichiomycetes; Serinales; Metschnikowiaceae
Description: eukaryotic LSU rRNA
Rfam family: Eukaryotic large subunit ribosomal RNA
Source: RNAcentral